GCCGCGGUGGCGUAGCGGUAGCGUGGGGGCCUGUGGAGCCCCUGGCCCGGGUUCGAAUCCCGGCCGCGGCCCCA
Molecule: transfer RNA, 74 nt
Filed under: Candidatus Korarchaeales archaeon
Lineage: Archaea; Thermoproteati; Thermoproteota; Candidatus Korarchaeia; Candidatus Korarchaeales
Also listed under: 1 other name
Description: tRNA-His
Rfam family: tRNA
About the family: Transfer RNA (tRNA) molecules are approximately 80 nucleotides in length.
Source: RNAcentral